Long non-coding RNA from Macaca fascicularis (crab-eating macaque), 2600 nucleotides. Lineage: Eukaryota; Metazoa; Chordata; Mammalia; Primates; Cercopithecidae. The record is from Ensembl.
GGGCAGCGGCAGGAGUUGUGGGGACCCGAAGGACCCAUCACCCGGGAAAGGCUGGUGCCAAGGGGUGCCCCUGCCCAGCCUCUGCAAGGGGGAGGCCAGAGGAGCCAGCAGCCCUCCGUGCCCCCUGCCCGGAACCCUCCCGUGCGGCCGCCCUCCCCAUGGUGGGUCCCGAAUCCCACAGCCCCUCCUCCCAGGCUCCUCCACCCCGCUCCAGGCUCCUCUUGUCCCAGGGCAGGUGUGCACCACUGGUCUCCCGGGUACCCCGCGGUGGGGCUGCAGGUCCUGGGCAAAAGGGCAGGGCAGGAGCCCAUGGCAGGAGUGACUGGGCAGCCCGUUCACGGGACCCACAGCCCAGAGGCGCCGCAGCACCGUCCUGGGACCACGGGAAGGGCCUGCAAGAGCCCUGGAGCGGGCACCCUCAUCCUCCAUCGGGGAUGGCAGCUGUGACUUCCCAGGGACCUGGCGGCAGGGUCACAGGGCAUGUGGGGCCAAGUCACACAGUAUGAAGCGGACCAGUGGCCGUUGUUAAGCGAGUCGUUUGUGGUGUGGAGUGCACUCCCGAGGCUGUGCAUCCACCACCCACUCCAUCCGUCCCGUUUCCAUCUUCCAGACAGAGCCCUCAGCCCCAGGGAAUCCAUCUCACGCCUCUGUGGCUCUCCCUGUUCAGGACGCUUCAUAUAAACAGAAUCGUGGCCCUCAGCCCUCCCAUCGGGCUUGUCGGCUUCUUCCCGUGUCUGAACUCUCUCCACAGAGCCUGUGCGAGACGCCCCGCCCCCACCCCCCGCCUGUGUUCUGUGUGACGGAGGGUCCUGCCUGCCGGUGCGGGGCAGUGAGGCCAGCGGCCCCCACACAGGUCAGACGGAUGCCUGUGGUCAGGAAGUCCCCUGGGACCCUGGGGGCGGAGGCCUGGCAUCUGAAAGGGUGCUCAGCAGUGGGGGCCAUGGUGUGAUCUGCCCUCCCCCUUUCAGCCAGCCUCGGGGGCUUGUCACUGUGGAGGGCAGGUCUGCUAACCCCCGAGUACCCCACCAAGGUCGCGAAAAUAGGGGGGCUCCUGGACCCAGCUGGGGGCCUCGGGGACCCACUCCAUGGAGCCCUUGGCUCCGACCUGUGAGUGUCCAGCCCUGCUCAGGGAGACCCCCUCACCUGGCAGGCAGAGGGGCCCUAAUGGUGGGGGUCCAGUCUCCGGAUCCAGAGUCCCAGAGACGUCCACUCACCCAGGGCCAACAGCUGACCUGAGGUCAGGUUGUGACAGCCUUGGCUGGGAUGGAGCCUGCACCCUCUGCAGACCCAGAGCCCAUCACACCUGACCCUUCCGAGGCUGGGUUCCCCUCACCCCAUCAGUCCUUGGCAGAUGGUCCCAAGGUCUCACGGCACUGAGCCCAUCUCCCCCAAAUGUCUGGGGUCCCUGUGUGGUCAGGACCGUGGGGCCUUUGCACUAGCAACCACUGCCGGCACCCACAAGGCAACCCCCUGGCUCGCCAGAGCUUGCUCUGUGCUCUGACACCAAGCGGCCCCUCGUCCUGCGCCAGGCCCUCAAUGUGGGUUUGCUGGGUCAACCAUGGGCCCGGGGGAAGGGAGACGCACCCUGGAGUCCCCGGAACAGCCUCCCUGGCUGGCUCAGACUCUCAGCCAUUCUCACUGCAGCUUGGAGGUCUCAGGCUGCCCAGGUCCUCAUCUGGGCAGGAAGGUUUGGGAGAACGGAGGCUUUGGAGCUUUAGAUCAGCAACGCACAAGAAUACCACAGACGGUGGCAGCUGGCCCACGGUGGCAGAAAAAAAAGCUCCCUUGUCAAAACAGUGUGGCAGCAGCACAGAGACCUAGAGAAGGGCGGGGCACAGUAACCACCUGAGAAAUUGUCCCACGCGUGUGGCCACAUACCUUCCAACGACAACAACCCGAGAAAUCGCCCCACACGCGGCCAGGUACCUUCCGACGACAACAACCCAAGAAAUCGCCCCACACGCGGCCAGGUACCUUCCGACGAGAAAUCGCCCCACGUGCACGGGCUUCGAGACCAUUCAACGGGAAGACGAUGGUCUUUUCAGCAAAUGGUGCUGGGAAAGCGUUAUCUCCACAUGCAAAAUAAUGAAUGAAGCUGGCCCCUUACCUAACAGCAUACACAAAACUUAACCCAAAAAACAGGAUGAAACACCGAAACGUAGGACCUAAAACUGUAAGACUCAGAAUAAAACCGGGGAAAAUCUUUAUGACAUUGGAUUUGGCAGUGAUUUCUUGGCUAGGACACCAACAGCACCGACAACAAAACAGAAAAUAAAUUGGACUUCAUCAAAAUUUGACAUUUCUGGCCGGGUGCGGUGGCUCACGCAUGUAAAUCCCAGCACUUUGGGAGGCCGAGGCGGGUGCAUCACCUGAGGUCAGGAGUUCGAGACCAGCCUGGGCAACAUGGUGAAACCCCAUCUCUACCAAAAAUACAAAAUUAGCCUGGCGUGGCGGGCACCUGUAAUCCCAGCCACUCGGGAGGCUGAGGCAGGAGAAUCGCUUGAACCCGGGAGGCAGAGGUUGCAGUGAGUUGAGACCACACCACUGCACUCCAGCCUGGCCGAUAGAGUAAGAUUCUAUCUUUAAAAAAAAAAAAAAAA